CGCUUUGGAAAUGAAAGUGUGUUGCGUAGCUGGGCGAUACCACUGACAGGAGAAAUGCUCGGCUGACGAGGCACCUGGGGAAGGCUGGUGGAACUGCUUUGUGAGUUCGUGACUGAGAUACUUAGAAGAAGAGGUCACUUCCUUGAAGAAUGAGAUGCACAGAAGCUGAUUUUGACAUAGUCAGUGGUAGCUGGUGACGAGAUCAACUUAGGAAUGGUAUGCAGCCCCUGUGUCACCCGCUCUGCCUGUGGACAGGACCGUCCUGGAGUCCCCAGGGCUGGGAGCCUGAGCUGUGAGACCGUGUUCGCUGCAUUUCUUCGUCUAACAUGAGGCUGCACUGGUGGGUCGUUGCACAGCUGGUGGGAAGGUGGGACGGACUGCCGGGAGCCAGCUGUGCCUCAGCAUCUGCCAUGGCCAAACACACUGCAAUUGUGACCAAUUCUGAAGCUCUGACUGAGAAACAGA
This is a long non-coding RNA of Hipposideros armiger (great roundleaf bat), 465 nucleotides long. RefSeq lists it as uncharacterized. The record is from RefSeq and is a predicted model, not a curated record. The transcript is spliced from 3 exons. Lineage: Eukaryota; Metazoa; Chordata; Mammalia; Chiroptera; Hipposideridae.